Molecule: small RNA, 152 nt
Filed under: Modestobacter caceresii
Lineage: Bacteria; Bacillati; Actinomycetota; Actinomycetes; Geodermatophilales; Geodermatophilaceae
Also listed under: 1 other name
Description: c-di-AMP riboswitch aptamer (ydaO/yuaA leader)
Rfam family: c-di-AMP riboswitch aptamer (ydaO/yuaA leader)
About the family: This family represents a conserved RNA structure found upstream of the ydaO and yuaA genes in Bacillus subtilis and related genes in other bacteria.
Source: Rfam by way of RNAcentral
GACCGGACGCCGCCGAGUCGCCCUCCGGGGCGAGCCGGGGACCCACCGCACCACUGGGGUGAAUCCCGCACCCGGACGACCGUCCGGGCCGGGUAGGGCUGCUUCCCGCCCGAACCCGUCAGCUGACCUGGUAGGCGGCACUCGGAAGACAC